Molecule: transfer RNA, 74 nt
Filed under: Saprospiraceae bacterium
Lineage: Bacteria; Pseudomonadati; Bacteroidota; Saprospiria; Saprospirales; Saprospiraceae
Description: tRNA-Ala
Rfam family: tRNA
About the family: Transfer RNA (tRNA) molecules are approximately 80 nucleotides in length.
Source: RNAcentral
GGGGAUGUAGCUCAGUUGGCUAGAGCGCUUGCAUGGCAUGCAAGAGGCCAGGGGUUCGAGUCCCCUUAUCUCCA